GUGUCUUUGCGUACUUCCUGUGACAAGAGUAUGAAAGCAACUCACAGGUCGACAUACAGGUUGCCGUACAUUCAGAGGUCUUGGUUGUUAAGAGAGCUGUUGAAAGUCCUAAUAGUGAUGAGGAGGCUGCUGGAUAGAAACGUAAGGAAGAUCCUUGAACUGUACCUUAGGAUUCUCUCUUGUGCGUUCUCCACACGGAGACAGACGCCUGCCACAACAACAGACUGCGCAUCAUGCUGAAUGAAAGUUGGUUACUUGAUAUGAUAAAGUUCUUAAUCACACCUUUGAUGUGCAUAGCACUGUACCUGCUGUGUUGCCGUAGAAAAUGGCUGUGCACUCAGGAAGAAGAGUCAGAUGACUCCUCUGUCUAUGUCAUCCCUAUGCAUGAAGAAGAGAGGACAGAAGGUCGAAGAGAGGAGGCAAGUCCCCCCAGUAGACCUCCUCGGCCCUCAAGGGCCCCAACCCCUCCACCGUUACCCACGACUGUCUACAGACCUCCCUAUAGAGAACUGCCGCCGUAUAGCUCAGUGGAUCUCAUCAACCCUGCACCGCCAUACACUCCGUUUGACCCAAAGGACCCAGAGGACGUUCCACCUUCCUACCGAGCGGUGAUAGAGGACAUACCACCCAUCUACUCAGCAGUGGUGGUGUCAGAUGACCUUCCAUCUGUCUGGUAUCAGCCACUGCCCCCAGUCUCACCCCCCUUACUCCCAAGUCCAGGUUACGCCCAACUCCCGUUACCAAGACCCUAACAUGGACGCGACUUGCACAAUUGAGAAUUCCAUGGUCCCAGAUUUGUUUGUGCUGCCUAUAGGUGUUGGCAAGACAGCACAAACAGAUCUGGGACCAGGCUAUGUCUGCUAUUCCCUUGCACCUCCAUGGGGUUCAUAUAGAGCUCUGAACAUGCAUAUUCAGGCCGUCCAAAGAACAAUGCUGAUUAAUAUACGUUUUUGAGGAAACUUUGGAUUUAUGUGAUACAGGUAGGGCCUAGAGUUGUUCCCGGUUGGUGAAAACUCAGGGCCUGAAAUACUGUAUAGUGGUACAUCUUAUUUAAAUUGAACACUUUCGUCACUGACGUGACAUUGUACUGUAAAGUAUCUGGUUCGGCUUGUGUAGAGGACUGGGCCAUCAUGGAGUCAUUGUCCAUUUCGUCAACAAAAAUAGUGACUAAAAUAAUCACCCAGGUGACUCUCUUGCUUCACCUUAACCAGUCAACACCACCAGCCUUCUUGUUAGCUAGAAUACUCUUUGCUGGUUAAGAAAUACAAGCUGCUUUACCAAAUGAAAAACAAUAACAGCAUUGUGUUUAAUAGUAAAACAACAGUCUAGCUAUGUUUUUCUCUUCCUUGAGUAGGCUAUAGAAAAGUAGGCCGUCUUUUAAAUGUGUAGUCUCGUUCAACCCUCCCACUUCUCCCACUGCAUUUCAUAUACAGGUUCUAUUGUCAAGUGUCCAUCUUUUCCUCAGAGAAAACGGCUUGAUUUAAGCCCUUAAGUUACCAUUUAAAAGACAUGACCCAUAAUACCAGCGCUAUGUUUUUUAAAUUUAGAUUGUGCAUUGGCGGGCAGCAUUUUACAUUCAUAAAGCAUAUCACAGGCCGUUCUUAAACUAGGUUACUUGCGGACCGGACUGUUAUUUGUUCAGGCUACACCUUGUUCAGUUAUGUUAUCUCAUUGGCUAGCUAAAGCUAGCAACCUGGGGGAAUGUUCAGCAGGACGCAACAUUUUGAAACGUUCAGAUAUAAAUAUGCUCUGUAGAACAAACAUGCCUCUCUGACAUGUUGAAUAAGAAAUAACGUAGCCUCUAUUCUUGGAAUUUCUAUCUGCAAUGUUCAAGAACAUUUUUCAACUGAAUGUGGCCCUGGUAACAUUAUUGGUAGCCUACAGUGACUGGAAAGUAUUCAGACCCCUUGACUUUCUCCAAAUGUUGUUACUUUACAGCCUUAUUCUAAAAUGGAUUAAAUAAAAAUUAUCCUCAGCAAUCUACAAACAAAACCCUAUAAUGACAAAGUGAAAACAGGUUUUUAGAAUUUUUGGCAAAUUUAUUUUAAAAAACACAUUUACAUAAGUAUUCAGCAACGAAAUUGAGGUCAGGUGCAUCCUGUUUUCAUUGAUCAUCCUUGAGGUGUUUCUACAACUUGAUUGGAGUCCACCUGUGGUAAAUUCAAUUGAUUGGACAUGAUUUGGAAAGGCACACACACCCGUCUAUAUAAGGUCCCAAAGUUGACAGUGCAUGUCAGAGCAAAAACCAAGCCAUGAGGUCGAAGGAAUUGUCCGUAGAGAAAAGUACAGAGAGAUCCUUGAUGAAAACCUGCUCCAGAGCGAUCAGCCUGGGGCGAAGGUUCACCUUCCAACAGGACAACGACCUUAAUCACACAGCAAGACAAGACAAUGCAAGAGUUGCUUCGGGACAAGUCUCUGAAUGUCCUUGAGUGGCCCAGCCAGAGCCUGGACUUGAACCAGAUCUAACAUCUCUGGAUAGACCUGAAAACAGCUGUGCAGCAACGCUCCCCAUCCAACCUGACAGACCUUGAAAGAAUCUGCAGAGAAGAAAGUAAGAAGCUCCCCAAAUACAGGUGUGCCAAGCUUGUAGCAUCCUACCCAGCAGACUUGAGCCUGUAAUCGCUGCCAAAGUUGCUUCAACAAAGUACUUAGUAAAGGGUCUGUGAUAUUUCUUUUAUAUACAUUUGCUACAAAUUCUAAAAACGUGUUUUUGUUUUGUCAUUAUGGGGUAUUGUGUGUAUGUUGAUGAAGGAAAACACUUUUUAAAAUCAAUUUUAGAACAAUUUUUGAAUAAUAAACAUAACAAAUUGUGGGAAAAGUCUGUCAUUUUGUGGCACAGAGAGAAAACAAAAGGGAUUGUAAACAAUUUAUUGAAAUUCUUCUUGCCACUACACAAAGUCUGACUGGGUAAAUAACUAUAUUUUGAGUUAAUGUGGACCCGGUGACUCAGACUUGAGCACUUGGACCAGGACUCAAGCACUGGUACUCUGACUUCAGCCACUUACUUGUGACUUGGACUCGAGCACAGGGGACUUGGGACUUGAUUCGGACUUGAGGUUCAGUGACUCAAAUACAUCACUGGGUGAAAUAGUUAUUAGCUCCUUUUCAAAAUCAUUAGCCCCUGUUCUACUUUUGGAGAUCAAUGUGGCGUCUGUGAAACAUUCAUAACAAUGGCAAUGACGCGACCGAAUGAUGGCGGUGCAAUCCAUACUACUUUGCGGCACCAUCGGGUGAUUAAGUCUUUCUCUCAUGUCUGUUUGUUUUGUAUGUAAUGUGCAAUAUCUAUGUAGGCUGAAUUAGGAAUUUGCAUGGUCAGAGAAUUCGAAUACAAUUUUAUUCUUAUUUACAGUACCAGUCAAAAGUUGGGACACACCUACUCAUUCGAGGAUUUUUCUAUAUUUUUACUACAUUGUAGAAUAAUAGGGAAGAAAUCAAAAUGAUGAAAUAACACAUAUGGAAUUAUGUAGUAACCAAAAAAGUGUUAAACAAAUCAAAAUAUAUGUUAUAUUUGCGAUUCUUCAAAGUAGCCACCCUUUUCCUUUAUGACACCUUUAUGACACCUUGCCCCGCAUUUUCUCAACCAGCUUCAUGAGGAAUGCUUUUCCAACAGUUUUGAAGGAGUUCCCACAUAUGCUGAGCACUUGGUAGCGAAUUUUCCAUCACUCUAUACGGUCCAACUCAUUCCAAACCAUCUCAAUUGGGUUGAGGUCAGAUGAUUGUGGAGGCAAGGUCAUCUGAUGUAGCACUCCAUCACACUCCUUCUUGGUCAAAUAGCCCUUACACAGCCUGGGGGUUUGUUUUGUGUCAUUGUCCUGUUGAAAAACAAUUGAUAGUCCCGCUGAGCGCAAACCAAAUUGGAUGGCGUAAUGCUGCAGAAUUCUGUGGUUGCCAUGCUGGCUAAGUGUGCCUUGAAUUCUAAAUAAUCAGCGACAGUGUCACCAGCAAAGCACCAUCACACCUCCCCCUCCAUACUUCACGGUGGGAACCACACAUGCAGAGAUUAUCCGUUCACAAAGACACAGUGGUUGGAACCAAAAAGAUACAUUUGGACUCAUCAGACCAGAGGACUGAUUUCCACCGGUCUAAUAUCCAUUGCUCAUGUUUCUUGGCCAAAGCAAGUCUCUUCUUGUGUCCUUUAGUAGUGGUUUCUUUGCAGCAAUUUGACCGUGAAGGCCUGAUUCACACAGCCUCAACAGUUGAUUUUGAGAUAUGUCUGUUACUUGAACUCUGUGAAGCAUUUAUUUGGCCUGCAAUCUGAGGUGCAGUUAACUCUAAUGAACUGUAACUCUGGGUCUUUCUUUCCUGUGGCGGUCCUCAUGAGAGCUAGUUUCAUCAUAGCGCUUGAUGGGUUUUGCGACUGCACUUGAAGAAACUUUCUUGAAGAAAGUUCUUGAAAUGUUCCGGAUUGACUGACCUUCAUGUCUUAAAGUAAUGAUGGACUGUCAUUUCUCUUUGCUUAUUUGAGCUGUUCUUUACAUAAUAUGGACUUGGUCUUUUACCAUAUAGGGCUAUCUUCUGGAUACCAUCCCUACCUUGUCACAACACAAUUGACCUACCUUGUCAAUUCCACAAAUUAACUUUUAUCAAGGCACACCUGUUAAUUGAAAUGUGUUCCAGGUGACUGCCUCAUGAAGCUGGUUGAGAGAAUGCCAAGUGUGUGCAAAGCUGUCAUCAAGACAAAGGGUGGCUACUUUCAAGAAUCCCAAAUAUAAAUAUCAUUUGUUUAACACUUUUUUGGUUACGACAUGAUUUAUUUCAUAGUUUUGAUGUCUUCACUAUUAUUCACAAUGUAGAAAAUAGUUUAAAAAAUAAAUAAAACCCCUGGAAUGAGAAGGUGUGUCCAAACUUUGACUGGUACUGUAUGUUUGUCAAAUUUUCUUCUGUUGGGAAGACAAUAGGAUGUUAUGCAGAAAAAUAUGUCGAUAGGACCAUGUUUUGUACUAUAUGUUUGUCCACAUGGAAAUCAGUGAUUUGUGUUUACUAUAGGUUGAGGCAAAUGUGAAGUGACUAAAAUGAAAGGGCAUUUAGUUGACAAAAAUGACCCAGUGUUUUUGUACAUUUUGACAACAAUUAGACUAAAUUAGAUAUUCAAAUGACAAAAAUGUGACUAAGACAUAAUGAUAUUUUAGUCAAAAUUACUAAGACUAGACCAAAUAAAUAAAAAAAGAGUGCCAAAAUGAACACUGUAUGGAUGAUUUUCUCUUUAUCUUUUGGAAAGAGUUUCUUGUGAAGAAGGUAUAACACUGAAAAAAUGCACCUUUGUAUUUGUCAUAUUUUGACAAAUAUUUCUGAUAUAAAUGACAUUGUUUACAUUAAUGUACAUUAUUUUGAUUUAUAUGUCAUUUCUAUUCAAGAUGAGAGA
Molecule: long non-coding RNA, 5362 nt
Organism: Oncorhynchus keta (chum salmon)
Lineage: Eukaryota; Metazoa; Chordata; Actinopteri; Salmoniformes; Salmonidae
Exons: 4
Source: RefSeq, a predicted model, not a curated record